This is a long non-coding RNA of Pseudopipra pipra, 483 nucleotides long. RefSeq lists it as uncharacterized. The transcript has 2 exons. Lineage: Eukaryota; Metazoa; Chordata; Aves; Passeriformes; Pipridae. The record is from RefSeq and is a predicted model, not a curated record.
UGAGCUGCCCGGCUGCUCCCAGUCCAGUUGCUGCCCUGUCUGCCUGCCCUGCUUUGAGCUGAACUGGACAAGCUGGAAGGUAUCUUGGCUUUCACUGUACUGGGGAAUAACUUCACCUUUGUGGAGAAUAAGUGGUUCCAAAAAAUCUUCCACCAACACAGAUUUUUAGAGAAGUAACAGAUGCCAAGUUUAUGUAAAAGCUAAUUACCCAUCUUCCAGAUGACCCACUUAUGGUAUGUACUGUGUCUGACAGUGAUCCCAUAAUCAUCUGGCCAAGGCACAUGCUCCUUCCAUUGUACACUCUCCUACAAAUUCUGCAGACUUUCUGAGAACCACACUUGCCUGACCACACACACUGCCUACAGCAUUGCUCAAGAGAAGUAUUAUGGAUAACAGUCUAAUGACUUUCCUUAAGUAUCUUACCAAAUAAACAUCUCUAGUAAAUCAUAUCGCAGAUUGAAAUAAACAGUAUGAAUAACUUAA